Molecule: ribosomal RNA, 1460 nt
Filed under: uncultured bacterium
Lineage: Bacteria
Description: bacterial SSU rRNA
Rfam family: Bacterial small subunit ribosomal RNA
Source: RNAcentral
GCUCAGGAUGAACGCUAGCUACAGGCUUAACACAUGCAAGUCGAGGGGCAGCAUCAUCAAAGCUUGCUUUGAUGGAUGGCGACCGGCGCACGGGUGAGUAACACGUAUCCAACCUGCCGACAACACUGGGAUAGCCUUUCGAAAGAAAGAUUAAUACCGGAUGGCAUAGUUUUCCCGCAUGGGAUAAUUAUUAAAGAAUUUCGGUUGUCGAUGGGGAUGCGUUCCAUUAGGCAGUUGGCGGGGUAACGGCCCACCAAACCAACGAUGGAUAGGGGUUCUGAGAGGAAGGUCCCCCACAUUGGAACUGAGACACGGUCCAAACUCCUACGGGAGGCAGCAGUGAGGAAUAUUGGUCAAUGGACGAGAGUCUGAACCAGCCAAGUAGCGUGAAGGAUGACUGCCCUAUGGGUUGUAAACUUCUUUUAUACGGGAAUAAAGUUAGCCACGUGUGGCUUUUUGUAUGUACCGUAUGAAUAAGGAUCGGCUAACUCCGUGCCAGCAGCCGCGGUAAUACGGAGGAUCCGAGCGUUAUCCGGAUUUAUUGGGUUUAAAGGGAGCGUAGGCGGGUUGUUAAGUCAGUUGUGAAAGUUUGCGGCUCAACCGUAAAAUUGCAGUUGAUACUGGCGACCUUGAGUGCAACAGAGGUAGGCGGAAUUCGUGGUGUAGCGGUGAAAUGCUUAGAUAUCACGAAGAACUCCGAUUGCGAAGGCAGCUUACUGGAUUGUAACUGACGCUGAUGCUCGAAAGUGUGGGUAUUAAACAGGAUUAGAUACCCUGGUAGUCCACACAGUAAACGAUGAAUACUCGCUGUUGGCGAUAUACGGUCAGCGGCCAAGCGAAAGCAUUAAGUAUUCCGCCUGGGGAGUACGCCGGCAACGGUGAAACUCAAAGGAAUUGACGGGGGCCCGCACAAGCGGAGGAACAUGUGGUUUAAUUCGAUGAUACGCGAGGAACCUUACCCGGGCUUAAAUUGCAACUGACUGAACCGGAAACGGUUCUUUCUUCGGACAGUUGUGAAGGUGCUGCAUGGUUGUCGUCAGCUCGUGCCGUGAGGUGUCGGCUUAAGUGCCAUAACGAGCGCAACCCUUAUCGAUAGUUACUAGCAGGUCAUGCUGAGGACUCUAUUGAGACUGCCGUCGUAAGAUGUGAGGAAGGUGGGGAUGACGUCAAAUCAGCACGGCCCUUACGUCCGGGGCUACACACGUGUUACAAUGGGGGGUACAGAAGGCAGCUACACGGCGACGUGGUGCUAAUCCCGAAAGCCUCUCUCAGUUCGGAUUGGAGUCUGCAACCCGACUCCAUGAAGCUGGAUUCGCUAGUAAUCGCGCAUCAGCCACGGCGCGGUGAAUACGUUCCCGGGCCUUGUACACACCGCCCGUCAAGCCAUGAAAGCCGGGGGUACCUGAAGUACGUAACCGCGAGGAGCGUCCUAGGGUAAAACUGGUGAUUGGGGCUAAGUC